GUGCUUCGGAGAACAUAUAAAAGUUGUAUGCAGAUACAGGGAAGAUUAGCACAGCCCCUGUUUGAGGAUGACACACAGGUUCGUGAAGCAACAAGAGAAAAUAUUU
Small nuclear RNA from Mastomys coucha (southern multimammate mouse), 106 nucleotides. Lineage: Eukaryota; Metazoa; Chordata; Mammalia; Rodentia; Muridae. The record is from RefSeq and is a predicted model, not a curated record.